RNAcentral lists this ribosomal RNA (229 nucleotides) under uncultured bacterium. RNAcentral's name for it is "partial 16S ribosomal RNA". It matches the Rfam family "Bacterial small subunit ribosomal RNA", at positions 568 to 796 of the family's 1533-position model. The record is from RNAcentral.
AGUGUAGGCGGCUUCGUAAGUCGGAUGUGAAAGCCCUGGGCUUAACCUGGGAAUGGCAUUCGAAACUGCGCGGCUAGAGUCUGAUAGAGGGAAGUGGAAUUCCAGGUGUAGCGGUGAAAUGCGUAGAGAUCUGGAGGAACACCAGUGGCGAAGGCGGCUUCCUGGAUCAAGACUGACGCUGAGGCUCGAAAGCGUGGGGAGCAAACAGGAUUAGAUACCCUGGUAGUCC